UGAGGAAUAUUGGACAAUGGGCGCAAGCCUGAUCCAGCAAUGCCGCGUGCAGGAUGAAGGCCUUCGGGUUGUAAACUGCUUUUGUACGGAGCGAAAAGGUCUGCCCUAAUACGGUGGGCUCAUGACGGUACCGUAAGAAUAAGCACCGGCUAACUACGUGCCAGCAGCCGCGGUAAUACGUAGGGUGCGAGCGUUAAUCGGAAUUACUGGGCGUAAAGCGUGCGCAGGCGGUUAAAUAAGACAGAUGUGAAAUCCCCGGGCUCAACCUGGGACCUGCAUUUGUGACUGUAUAGCUAGAGUACGGUAGAGGGGGAUGGAAUUCCGCGUGUAGCAGUGAAAUGCGUAGAUAUGCGGAGGAACACCGAUGGCGAAGGCAAUCCCCUGGACCUGUACUGACGCUCAUGCACGAAAGCGUGGGGAGCAAACA
Molecule: ribosomal RNA, 427 nt
Filed under: uncultured bacterium
Lineage: Bacteria
Description: bacterial SSU rRNA
Rfam family: Bacterial small subunit ribosomal RNA
Source: RNAcentral